This 252-nucleotide ribosomal RNA is filed under the name uncultured bacterium. RNAcentral's name for it is "partial 16S ribosomal RNA". It matches the Rfam family "Bacterial small subunit ribosomal RNA", at positions 524 to 775 of the family's 1533-position model. The record is from RNAcentral.
GACGGAGGGGGCUAGCGUUGUUCGGAAUGACUGGGCGUAAAGGGCGCGUAGGCGGUUUUUUAAGUGAGGCGUGAAAGCCCUGGGCUUAACCUAGGAGGUGCGUUUCAUACUGGAAGACUUGAGUACGAGAGAGGAAAGUGGAAUUCCUAGUGUAGAGGUGAAAUUCGUAGAUAUUAGGAAGAACACCAGUGGCGAAGGCGACUUUCUGGCUCGUAACUGACGCUGAGGCGCGAAAGCGUGGGGAGCAAACAG